This 559-nucleotide ribosomal RNA is filed under the name Chiasmocleis hudsoni (Hudson's humming frog). RNAcentral describes it as "Syncope hudsoni (Hudson's humming frog) 16S ribosomal RNA". The record is from RNAcentral. Lineage: Eukaryota; Metazoa; Chordata; Amphibia; Anura; Microhylidae.
AAAGGAUUUGAGUCCACCAAUAAGCUUCCACGCAAACAAUAAUGCAACAAUAAGCUUAAUAGACAUUCAAAUAAGGUACAGCCUAUUUGAAACAGGAAACAACCUAAUACACAGGGUAAUUUUAUUUUAGGUGCCUAAGUGGGCCUAAGAGCAGCCAACUUCUAAAAAGCGUUAAAGCUUUAUCACCAAACACAAUAAUCCCCUAAACAACAUAAAACCCUUAAUUUAUACUGAGUGAUUCUAUGACCACAUAGAAAACCUAAUGCUAAAACUAGUAACAAGAAUGCCUUCUCUUAAGUGUCAGUAUAAGCCAGUACCUUGGCACCUACCGCCAAUGAACACAAAGUGGAAACUCUCUCAGAAAAAUCCACUAACCAUAGCGUUAAUCUUACCCAAGCACACUUCAAGAAAGAUUAAAAAAAGAGGAAGGAACUCGGCAAAUCAUUAAUCCCGCCUGUUUACCAAAAACAUCGCCUCCUGAAAGAUUAUAGGAGGUCCAGCCUGCCCAGUGAUAAAAUUAAACGGCCGCGGUACCCUACCCGUGCAAAGGUAGCGGCGG